GAUGAACGCUGGCGGCGUGCCUAAUACAUGCAAGUCGAGCGAACGGACGAGAAGCUUGCUUCUCUGAUGUUAGCGGCGGACGGGUGAGUAACACGUGGAUAACCUACCUAUAAGGCUGGGAUAACUUCGGGAAACCGUAGCUAAUACCGGAUAAUAUUUUGAACCGCAUGGUUCAAAAGUGAAAGACGGUCUUGCUGUCACUUAUAGAUGGAUCCGCGCUGCAUUAGCUAGCUGGUAAGGUAACGGCUUACCAAGGCAACGAUGCAUAGCCGACCUGAGAGGGUGAUCGGCCACACUGGAACUGAGACACGGUCCAGACUCCUACGGGAGGCAGCAGUAGGGAAUCUUCCGCAAUGGGCGAAAGCCUGACGGAGCAACGCCGCGUGAGUGAUGAAGGUCUUCGGAUCGUAAAACUCUGUUAUUAGGGAAGAACAUAUGUGUAAGUAACUGUGCACAUCUUGACGGUACCUAAUCAGAAAGCCACGGCUAACUACGUG
RNAcentral lists this ribosomal RNA (497 nucleotides) under uncultured bacterium. Its description in RNAcentral is "partial 16S ribosomal RNA". It matches the Rfam family "Bacterial small subunit ribosomal RNA", at positions 28 to 507 of the family's 1533-position model. The record is from RNAcentral.